AGGACACCCUGGUGGGUGGUUCAGACUGGGGCUCAUUCCUAAGGCCUGUGUGUAGGUGUCUUUGAAAAUUACAUGCGCAAAGGCAGAGGUCAGCAAUCUCCUGGGCUAUCUGCAGAAAUAAACAACGUUGGUACAGGGGUCUUGAUCCAGGAGAAACACGGAGAGAAGAGGGACAGGAAGAAUGAAAAGAAGCAGCAGGGACAAAAAACAGGAGGAAGAAUGAGUCACAAUACACUCGAGAGUGACAUCUUUGUCACGGCUUUGCCUCUGUCUGGUUUUGAAUGUCCAGGCAACCACUCUCUUAACCAAAUUUUUAAUCAGCUACAGAUGCUUGUUUCUCAGGCUUGUGCGAGGUUCUGGAGGUGAGGGAAGGGGCGGGGCUUAGUUCUAGGUUUCCUCAAGGAAGUCUGACUUCCACUACACAUGAGUUUAAAGCAGCCCUGGAGUAGACCGGGUGCUUUUUUGAGCCCUUCUGCCCAUGUUUCUUUUCUCAGUAGAGAGUACAGCCUCUGAGUCUAGUGUUCAUCCACUUUUGACUCAGAAUUUGUUCCUAUUAGCCUAAGGGAGAUGUGAAAAGACAUCUCAAGGCCAACAUACCAGUAAAAAUUCAAUGACUCAUUUCUCCUUGAAGAUCUACACUGAGGGAUGAUUUUGUUCCCUUUAGAAACCCACAGCAGACUUUUCAGAAUAUGAUUUUCCCAGUCUCCAGCAUCUAUAAUUUUUUAUAAUAAAUGUAUAUGUAUGCAGUCAA
This is a long non-coding RNA of Peromyscus eremicus (cactus mouse), 751 nucleotides long. RefSeq lists it as uncharacterized. The record is from RefSeq and is a predicted model, not a curated record. Lineage: Eukaryota; Metazoa; Chordata; Mammalia; Rodentia; Cricetidae. The transcript has 2 exons.